RNAcentral lists this unclassified non-coding RNA (259 nucleotides) under Hevea brasiliensis (rubber tree). The record is from RNAcentral. Lineage: Eukaryota; Viridiplantae; Streptophyta; Magnoliopsida; Malpighiales; Euphorbiaceae.
AUGUGGAUUGCCAGAAACCCAGCAACUUUUGUCCAAACCCUCAGUGAAUCCAAGAUAUCUAUUCCGUGCUUUUUUCUCAAGUGGUGGAUUUACAUUGUUUUGUUGGGAGCAAUUGCCAUCCUCAUCUUUCUAAAUGCUUUAUGCUUGCCCUAUUAUUAUUUUUUCACUUCAUAUUUGAUCCUUGCCCCCACUGAACUCUCUCAACCUCCAUCCUAAGCACUUAAUAUGUGUUGGAGAAGCUGAUGGACAUAGGCUUGCA